Molecule: long non-coding RNA, 362 nt
Organism: Pollicipes pollicipes
Lineage: Eukaryota; Metazoa; Arthropoda; Thecostraca; Pollicipedomorpha; Pollicipedidae
Exons: 3
Source: RefSeq, a predicted model, not a curated record
GACAAAUCGGUGAGCCUACUCGGCGAUAAGAACAAGAUCACUCUGUCUGACAUCUAUGAAAGCCUUCGAGUUCUCACCUCGCGUGUUGGCACCAGUCAGAUCAACGACGACGAGUACUGCAGGGCCAAACACGGACUGCCGCUGCCCUCGGACCCCCCUGGCUCCCCACCAGCCAUGCCGGCCAGGCGGAGGAGGCCGUUCCAGUCGGGUAUUACUAUUACACCACCGCGGUAUUACGGCUGGGCUUCGACCCAUGCCGAUUCGCUCACCGCAUUCGAUAGCAGCUCAGUCAUGGUGUUGUCGGACCUUGUCACCGAGGCGCGCAACUGCAUUGCCAAAAUCCGCCUAGCUUAUCCUUGGCG